RNAcentral lists this long non-coding RNA (1484 nucleotides) under Equus caballus (horse). RNAcentral describes it as "lncRNA (ENSECAG00000036882.3)". The record is from RNAcentral. Lineage: Eukaryota; Metazoa; Chordata; Mammalia; Perissodactyla; Equidae.
AGUAAAAACUCAAGGAUGUACCCAGGCCAUCUGUGUUUACCAGAAAGGGCCAUUUUUCCAUCCCCCUGACGUCCAGGAAGGCACUCAAGAAGGAACGGAGCGUGCCUCCCUCCGGGCCUGUCCCCCGUCCCUGCCAGCAGGCCCAGCUGGCUGCGUUCUGAGAUCAAGCGCUUUGAAGAACGGGGCCACUGCUUCCUUCACCAGGGCCUGGAAACGCCCAGCCGAGCCGUGGCUGCAGUGCGAACCCGUUUCCUUUCAGGUGAAAAGGUGUUGCUAAGACUAACAGGAUGCAUCAGUGCUUGUCUUUUCCAGAAACCAACCAGCCACAUAAGAAAUCUUUAAUUAACAAACAUAUUUAUAAGAGUGGAAAAAAUCAGAUCAGUGGGAGUGAAGCAACUGACCCGAGUUCUUCCCUGGCCGCCCGGGAGAAGAUGAUGGAGACAGCACGUAACAUUCUGUUCCUCUGCUUUGCUCAUCUCCAGGCUGUCGGGAUGAUGGAAAAAGUGCAUCUUACCCUGCCUGUCUCUCUCCGGUUCCUAGAAAUGCUGCCACAUGGGGAGGAAGGUGACUGCAGUCACAAGGGAUGUACAUUGGCUCUGAUCACAACAUGGCUGCAGGACGGAGAAGCUGCUCCCCAGGACGCCUGGCUCCCACUCCUUGCAGACCUGGGUUCAAGUUCAGCCUCCUCAGUUGCAAACCUGGGGCCUUCCUAUUCGGAGUCUCUCUGCUGCCCAUUUGGCAAGCAUUGAGUUAGUAAAAACAAACCCCCAGCAUUCUAAUGAGGAUUAAUGAGACUGUCAGCUCCAGGUGGACAGGUAGCUUGUGAAGGGCUGACAGAUUGCCACUUUCCUUGCCCUCCGUGAACAGUUGUUAGGGACGUGAAUGAACAAAUCACAUUAGCCCUGGGCCCACAAUAAAUUACACUGAUGUCAGUUUCUCCUUUCACUGCCAGGAAAAGUUUAGUUCAAUAAAUGUUUCCUAAGCCUUUGCUCUGGAUGUGCUCAACGAUGUGGGGGGUACAAAAGAGAAAACCACAUGAGCACCCCUCCAGACUCCAGGAUGAUCUGAACUCAAGUAAAACACAAGACAGGAUGAGCUAAGUAGACUAAGAAAAGGAGGCCAUGGGAGGCUGGCUUGAUGGGGGCAGGACCUGCUUGACCAGCUGGGAAAAGGGAGUGAGGAAAGAAGUCUUUCUGGAGGAGGCUGAAUGCCAGUGUGCACACAGAAGACGGUGUUAAGAGCAAUUGUGGGGUACACUUGGGUUUUAUUAGACCAAGGGAUCCAGGGUUGCCCAGGCCCCCCUACACAUGAGAGAUCAAAGAUGAUAUUAAUGGCUGGACUUGUACCCAAAACCUCCAAAUGGAAUUUGCUGGAGCUUUUUCGGAAGUUCUUAAGCCCAAAUUCAGAUUUUGGAAUCAUGUCACCAGCCAGCCAACCGUGUGGGACAAGAGACCAGAGUUGAAAGAACUUGAGCACGUGCCUGA